RNAcentral lists this transfer RNA (88 nucleotides) under Caudoviricetes sp. RNAcentral describes it as "tRNA-Ser". It matches the Rfam family "tRNA". From Rfam's summary of the family: Transfer RNA (tRNA) molecules are approximately 80 nucleotides in length. The record is from RNAcentral. Lineage: Duplodnaviria; Heunggongvirae; Uroviricota; Caudoviricetes.
GGAGAGUUGGCAGAGAGGCCGAUUGCGGCGGUCUUGAAAACCGUUGAACGUUUACACCGUUCCGGGGGUUCGAAUCCCUCACUCUCCG